CCUACGGGAGGCAGCAGUGGGGAAUAUUGCACAAUGGGCGCAAGCCUGAUGCAGCGACGCCGCGUGAGGGAUGAAGGCCUUCGGGUUGUAAACCUCUUUCAGUAGGGAAGAAGCGAAAGUGACGGUACCUGUAGAAGAAGCGCCGGCUAACUACGUGCCAGCAGCCGCGGUAAUACGUAGGGCGCAAGCGUUAUCCGGAAUUAUUGGGCGUAAAGAGCUCGUAGGCGGUUUGUCGCGUCUGCCGUGAAAGUCCGGGGCUUAACUCCGGAUCUGCGGUGGGUACGGGCAGACUUGAGUGAUGUAGGGGAGACUGGAAUUCCUGGUGUAGCGGUGAAAUGCGCAGAUAUCAGGAGGAACACCGAUGGCGAAGGCAGGUCUCUGGGCUGUAACUGACGCUGAGGAGCGAAAGCAUGGGGAGCGAACAGGAUUAGAUACCCUGGUAGUCCAUGCCGUAAACGUUGGGCACUAGGUGUGGGGGACAUUCCACGUUUUCCGCGCCGUAGCUAACGCAUUAAGUGCCCCGCCUGGGGAGUACGGCCGCAAGGCUAAAACUCAAAGGAAUUGACGGGGGCCCGCACAAGCGGCAGAGCAUGCGGAUUAAUUCGAUGCAACGCGAAGAACCUUAC
RNAcentral lists this ribosomal RNA (626 nucleotides) under uncultured Arthrobacter sp. Its description in RNAcentral is "bacterial SSU rRNA". It matches the Rfam family "Bacterial small subunit ribosomal RNA", at positions 338 to 974 of the family's 1533-position model. The record is from RNAcentral. Lineage: Bacteria; Bacillati; Actinomycetota; Actinomycetes; Micrococcales; Micrococcaceae.